Molecule: ribosomal RNA, 468 nt
Filed under: uncultured bacterium
Lineage: Bacteria
Description: partial 16S ribosomal RNA
Rfam family: Bacterial small subunit ribosomal RNA
Source: RNAcentral
GACGAACGCUGGCGGCGUGCUUAACACAUGCAAGUCGAACGGAAAGGCCCUGCUUUUGUGGGGUGCUCGAGUGGCGAACGGGUGAGUAACACGUGAGUAACCUGCCCUUGACUUUGGGAUAACUUCAGGAAACUGGUGCUAAUACCGGAUAGGAGCUCCUGCUGCAUGGUGGGGGUUGGAAAGUUUCGGCGGUUGGGGAUGUACUCGCGGCUUAUCAGCUUGUUGGUGGGGUAGUGGCUUACCAAGGCUUUGACGGGUAGCCGGCCUGAGAGGGCGACCGGCCACAUUGGGACUGAGAUACGGCCGAGACUCCUACGGGAGGCAGCAGUGGGGAAUAUUGCACAAUGGGCGGAAGCCUGAUGCAGCAACGCCGCGUGCGGGAUAACGGCCUUCGGGUUGUAAAACGCUUUCGCCUGUGACGAAGCGUGAGUGACGGUAAUGGGUAAAGAAGCAACGGCUAAAUACGUG